GCCUAUGCGAACCCAACUAGUCACGGCAGGGAAGUCGCAACACGUACCGCCGUAUGACCAACUGAAAGUGUCCGGAACGCGUUGUUUCAAGCGAACACAGAAACACCGGGAUAAAUGCCUGUGUGAUCCACGAGAAAGACAAAUUAACAUGCAGCGUAAUCUUUACCUAAUAAUAAAGAGAACUGGGUUCAUCGAUGAGGGCGCGAGGAGGAAGCGCUCGAGUGGUGAGAUGGGAUCUGGGGAAGCUCAGGCUGCGCUGCUUGGAAACGUCUCUAGAUGGGGUGGGUGAGUUUUCUUAGGCUUGUGCUAAAAUUUCAGAAUCCAAUUAAUAGUCCCAAAUUGCUUUUUAAAAUCAAAGUCUACCAAUUUAUGUAUGUUCAUGCGUUACAGGAUCAACAAGCCAACAGAAAAAGGAUGAGAUAUGGUUCAUGUUUACCCUACAGAGAAAUAAAGAGAGGUGUCUGCCCGCAUGUAUUUAAUGCAUCAGCAAUCAAAAAUUAGCGAAGAGGAGAGGCGGAUGAAUAAAAAAAAAAGCAUCAGCCAUGUGCCCAGCCUGCUAAUUUGCCAUAUUGAUUCAUACGGAUGGUUAUCUUACAGGUUAUCUUACAGAGAUCUUCUCACGAAGAGAAAUAAGUGGGGGAUUUUCACCGGAGGCAGAUUCAGCAGCCCCACAUCUAGGGCGACCCGCCAGUCCCCGCGCAUGCUGGCCGACCGCCAGAUCUGGCGCGCAACCGAGCCACUGCACACUGGCCCCGCAAGCCCCCGUUGCCCCCAGCCACCCACCGGGAGAGGGGCUCCGCCACGCACAGGGACUCCGCCCCGGCCCCGUGAGCCGAUGAGCAGGCCGUCACCGCCCCAGCCGCCGUAGUAGCAAACACAGCGACGCCACGCUGCCAGCCGGGAAGUGGCUCGCCAGCCAGCGCGGACGACAAGAGGAGAGCAGCGCUUGGGUGGUGAGAUGGAUGGAGAAGUGGAGGAGGAGCAGCUUUGGGUGGGUGAGGUAGCAGGAGGAGGAAGAUGGAGGCGGAGCGACGCCUGGGUGAUGAGCUGAGCAAUGGCGAUGUGUUGUGGUCUUGUGGAUAAGGGGGACGCAGUGGGCGGUGAUAGCGCUUUCGGUGGGGAUAUAUGGUGC
RNAcentral lists this ribosomal RNA (1132 nucleotides) under Triticum aestivum (bread wheat). RNAcentral describes it as "partial small subunit ribosomal RNA". The record is from RNAcentral. Lineage: Eukaryota; Viridiplantae; Streptophyta; Magnoliopsida; Poales; Poaceae.